GAAGCCAGGCCAAGAAGAAUCCCAGGACUGGAAGGCCUUGUGGGACGUCCCAGGUUUGUCUUGUGUCAAUAGCACUGAUACUCAAUCUCCUACUCCCAUCUGUGAGCAUGCAGACCCUACUUGCCUUCCCACAGCCUCCCUUUUCAUAUUUUUCAUGUUUCUUUAGCUCUGUCUUCAAGCCUUGUUGCUCCCGCAAAAAAACCUGCCUCUUCCUCCAGUCCUCCCAAGCAGGGGGAACAGUCCUGACACCUUUCCAAGCCCUGGUCCAUGGACAUUGUGCCCCCUUCUCCCUGCCCAUGGUGACCUGCUCCAAAACCCUCAAGGAGAAGGGAGUGUAUGUCAUUUCCUCCCUGUAAAGUAAAGAUAAUUUUGCAGGGGACUGUGUGGAUGAAAUGACAUGAUGCAUGGAAAUCCCUUAGCGUGUGCCUGGCAUGUAAACUGCAGGUGUCAUCAUUAUUACUGAGGAAUACUGAGUCCCGAACAUGGCUGUCUCAUUGGUGGACUGGGGUCUCCCCCAGGGCAUUCAUCUACUAUGUGUUUAUUGCACCCUUUUUCCAUGUGAGGCACAUGCCAGGGACUGGGCACAUGGUAUGAACAAGACACAGGUCAUCGGUGUCCUCUUGAGCUCCCUGGCUUGGCAGCAGAUGCAUACCUGGGAAGGAUGCUAGGUCAUCCGGGAACUCUACCUCCUUCAAAUCCCUAAGGACUGUGCUCCCAAUCCGCUUACGCUCAAGGAAGAACUGGAAGGCCCAGAACCAGCCUGCUGUCAGGAUCAGAACAAAAGAGGAGGACUGCAUAUGUAUGGACCCACUCCAGAUGGCACGGGGACGGGGGGAGUAGGAAAAGUGGCAUGAGACCAGGCCCACAGAGUAUGGCUGUGCAAGUUGUUCACUCUACAAGGGCACCUGGCCGGGGUCUUACCUUGAAUGGAGGAGAAGAGCUUGAAGAUGAGGGGACAGGCCAAGACAACUACCUGGCCCCGAGGGGUGGCUGGCCAGCAGAUGAGGAAAUGGAGGCACAGACUGAUUAGAAAACCAGCUCAAGGUCAUGUUGCUGCUCUCUCAUUCCUGUUGAGGGCUCUCUGGUGGAGCCUCUGUCUCACAGGUCACCUGCAGGCCAACACUCCCAGAAGCAGCUAGCACCAUGGUUGACCUCGUCCAGGUCCAGGGAAGGCCUCCCUCUCCAGGACUCCUUUAGAUUUCCCCAGCAUCCAGACCUCACCUGCCUAAGUGCUGUUGCCCUGGAAGCCACAGUGAGCACGAGCUCCAUCUUGCACCUUUACCAGCCAAUGGGGGUAAAGACAUUAGCUGAAAUACUUCUAAGGGGCCAGGCGUGGUGACUCAUGCUUGUAAUUCCAAGCACUUUGGGAGGCUGAGGCAGGUGGAUCACCUGAAGCCAGGAGUUCAAGAGCAGCCUGGCCAACAUGGCGAAACCCUGUCUCUACUAAAAAUACAAAAUUUAGCCAGGCAUGGUGGCGGGAGCCUGUAAUCUCAGCUCCUAGGGAGGCUGAGCCAGAAGAAUCGCUUAAACCUGGAAGCUGGAGGUUGCAGUGAGCCAAGAUCACACCACCACACUCCAGCCUGGGUGACAGAGCAAGACUCCAUCUCAAAAAGAAAAAAAAGAAAAAAAGGAAAUACUUCUAAGUUAUGUGAGAGAGUACAUACUGACAUUUUCAAUGGGUACAAUAA
This 1688-nucleotide long non-coding RNA is filed under the name Homo sapiens (human). RNAcentral describes it as "PREDICTED lncRNA (TCONS_00191764)". The record is from RNAcentral. Lineage: Eukaryota; Metazoa; Chordata; Mammalia; Primates; Hominidae.